UCCACCCCCCCCCCUUUUUUUUUUUUUUACUUGUUAUACCUUCAGAAAUUGGUUAGGCAUUAUUAAAAUCAAUGGAGUUGGUAAAUUCUAAUCUGUCUCCUAUUGUUGGUUAUUUUUUUUCUAGCAUAUCUCAGUAACCUAGAAGCAAACUCAAGGAUGGUAGAUACCUGUUGGGAUUUUGGCAGAGGUAUGGGAGGAAAAGCCAAGGACUGCAAGGAAAGAUACUGAUGAGAUUAUUUGAAAUAAUAGCUUUGCUUAUAAAAGAAAUAAAUGGCUCCUACCCUCAAGAAGCUUACCAUUUAGAAGAAUAGACAAGCAAAUGUGUGUACAACAAGUAAAAUGAUGUUCAAGAUAUAUGAUUGGGUGAGGAAGCAGCAAAAGGAAGACAAUACUUCACUGGAAACUAGGUGGGCAAGCUGGAUUUAAUCUGUUUGGUUUGAUAUAUUUAUACAAAUACAGAUUGUCAAUUGUACAAUCUGACAAAUACAAUUUGUCAAUACAGAUUGACAAAUAAAGAUUGUCAAAAUCUUAACAAGUA
Molecule: long non-coding RNA, 538 nt
Organism: Felis catus (domestic cat)
Lineage: Eukaryota; Metazoa; Chordata; Mammalia; Carnivora; Felidae
Exons: 2
Source: RefSeq, a predicted model, not a curated record